Molecule: ribosomal RNA, 553 nt
Filed under: Alternaria alternata
Lineage: Eukaryota; Fungi; Ascomycota; Dothideomycetes; Pleosporales; Pleosporaceae
Description: eukaryotic LSU rRNA
Rfam family: 5.8S ribosomal RNA (bases 196-349)
Source: RNAcentral
GUCUCGUAGUGACCUGCGGAGGGAUCAUUACACAAAUAUGAAGGCGGGCUGGAACCUCUCGGGGUUACAGCCUUGCUGAAUUAUUCACCCUUGUCUUUUGCGUACUUCUUGUUUCCUUGGUGGGUUCGCCCACCACUAGGACAAACAUAAACCUUUUGUAAUUGCAAUCAGCGUCAGUAACAAAUUAAUAAUUACAACUUUCAACAACGGAUCUCUUGGUUCUGGCAUCGAUGAAGAACGCAGCGAAAUGCGAUAAGUAGUGUGAAUUGCAGAAUUCAGUGAAUCAUCGAAUCUUUGAACGCACAUUGCGCCCUUUGGUAUUCCAAAGGGCAUGCCUGUUCGAGCGUCAUUUGUACCCUCAAGCUUUGCUUGGUGUUGGGCGUCUUGUCUCUAGCUUUGCUGGAGACUCGCCUUAAAGUAAUUGGCAGCCGGCCUACUGGUUUCGGAGCGCAGCACAAGUCGCACUCUCUAUCAGCAAAGGUCUAGCAUCCAUUAAGCCUUUUUUUCAACUUUUGACCUCGGAUCAGGUAGGGAUACCCGCUGAACUUAAGCA